RNAcentral lists this ribosomal RNA (451 nucleotides) under uncultured organism. RNAcentral describes it as "partial 16S ribosomal RNA". It matches the Rfam family "Bacterial small subunit ribosomal RNA", at positions 330 to 797 of the family's 1533-position model. The record is from RNAcentral.
CGUACACUCCUGCGGGAGGCAGCAGUGGGGAAUAUUGGACAAUGGGCGCAAGCCUGAUCCAGCCAUGCCGCGUGAGUGAUGAAGGCCCUAGGGUUGUAAAGCUCUUUCACCGGUGAAGAUAAUGACGGUAACCGGAGAAGAAGCCCCGGCUAACUUCGUGCCAGCAGCCGCGGUAAUACGAAGGGGGCUAGCGUUGUUCGGAUUUACUGGGCGUAAAGCGCACGUAGGCGGACUAUUAAGUCAGGGGUGAAAUCCCGGGGCUCAACCCCGGAACUGCCUUUGAUACUGGUAGUCUUGAGUUCGAGAGAGGGGAGUGGAAUUCCGAGUGUAGAGGUGAAAGUCGUAGAUAUUCGGAGGAACACCAGUGGCGAAGGCGGCUCACUGGCUCGAUACUGACGCUGAGGUGCGAAAGCGUGGGGAGCAAACAGGAUUAGAAACCCUAGUAGUCCCA